This 630-nucleotide long non-coding RNA is filed under the name Nicotiana tabacum (common tobacco). RNAcentral describes it as "long non-coding RNA (NTAB_LNC008421)". Lineage: Eukaryota; Viridiplantae; Streptophyta; Magnoliopsida; Solanales; Solanaceae. The record is from RNAcentral.
CAUCUUCCUUUGAACCCUCUGCAUCGUCCUCCUUCUCAGGAUAUUCCUUUGAGUACUCUGCAUCUUCCUCCUUGACAAGAUCUUCCUUCGACUCCUCUGCAUCUUUCUCCAUCACAGCAUCUUCCUCCUUGACAAGAUCUUCCUUCGACUCCUCUACAUUUUUCUCCAUCACAGCAUCUUCCUUUGAACCCUCUGCAUCUUCCUCCUUUGCGGGAUAUUCCUCUGACUCUGCAUCUUUCCCAAUUACAACAUCUUCCUUUGACUCCUCUACAUUUUUCUCCUUUAUAGCCUCUUCUUUUGACUCCACUAUAUCUUCCUCCUUGACAAUAUCUUCCUUUAAGUCCUGUGCAUCUUUCUCCAUUGUAGCAUCUUCCUUUAGGUCCUGUAGACCUUUCUCCUUGACAGGAUCUUCCUUUGAGACCUCAGCAUCUUCAUCCUUGACAAUAUCUUCCUUCAAGUCCUCUGUAUCUUUCUCCUUCGCAGCAUCUUCCUUUAGGUCCUGUAGACCUUCCUCCUUGACAGGAUCUUCCUUUGAGUCCUCUGCAUCUUCCUCCUUGUCAUGAACUUCCUUUGAGUUCUCCGUCUCUUCCUCCUUGAUAGAUUUCUUUGAUUCCUGUGCAUCUUCAACCU